Long non-coding RNA from Wasmannia auropunctata (little fire ant), 144 nucleotides. RefSeq lists it as uncharacterized. The transcript has 2 exons. Lineage: Eukaryota; Metazoa; Arthropoda; Insecta; Hymenoptera; Formicidae. The record is from RefSeq and is a predicted model, not a curated record.
ACGCGAGUCGCUAAGUAAGCGUGUGUGUGUAUGUGUAGGAGAUGUUGGCGGUGUUUUGGGGAUGUUGCAGCGGUAUUUGAUGCGGGCGAAGAAGGGUUCCUGAUAUACGAAUGCACUCGUCGAAGCAAGUGACGGUACCAGCGG